This 71-nucleotide transfer RNA is filed under the name Loxodonta africana (African savanna elephant). It matches the Rfam family "tRNA". From Rfam's summary of the family: Transfer RNA (tRNA) molecules are approximately 80 nucleotides in length. Their secondary structure includes four short double-helical elements and three loops (D, anti-codon, and T loops). Further hydrogen bonds mediate the characteristic L-shaped molecular structure. tRNAs have two regions of fundamental functional importance: the anti-codon, which is responsible for specific mRNA codon recognition, and the 3' end, to which the tRNAs corresponding amino acid is attached (by aminoacyl-tRNA synthetases). tRNAs cope with the degeneracy of the genetic code in two manners: having more than one tRNA (with a specific anti-codon) for a particular amino acid; and 'wobble' base-pairing, i.e. permitting non-standard base-pairing at the 3rd anti-codon position. Lineage: Eukaryota; Metazoa; Chordata; Mammalia; Proboscidea; Elephantidae. The record is from Rfam by way of RNAcentral.
GCAUUGGUGGUUCUGUGAUAGAAUUCCCGCCUUCCAUGCCGGAGACCCAGGUUGAAUUCCCAGCCAAUACA